GUGAAGAUGGACAGUGUGUGAAUUAUAAGAGCUCUGUUUCUAAAGUGAUUCAACUAUACUUGCACAGAAUUCCAAAAGCUCUACUGUUUAUUACUCUUCAUUACUAAUACAGCCUUUGAUUGUAAGCAGGCUGUCCUUUGUGAAUAACAAUCACAGAUACAGACAUCUUCAGACAGUUCAAGUCGUGUGCUUCAAUCAAACUCUAGUCGGAAAAGAACUUUCAGAGCAAGGCUGCUUCCACAGUACUGACAAAAUCUGCUAUAUAUCACAUAACAUUGCAUGGUGCACUCACUCAAACUUUAUGUUUCCCUGUUUUAUAAAUUCUUAAGAGCACUGCAUGGCUCACAAAAAUCUAAUACUGGCACUCUCUAUGUUGGCGAUUACUGAAUGGAAAUAUGCAUAUUUAGCUUGAAAGAAAGAAGGGUAAUAUUUUCCUUGCAAUUUAUUCACCAUUUCCUUUAUAUAACCUGAAAUCAUGAGCUUUGUGACACAUUGGAAAAGAAAUACUUUAUUAUAGAAAAUAUAACUAGAUAGUAAUGAGUUUUAAAGCAGAGUAUUGACCAUGUAUAAUGGUUCUCACAGAUAUGAAAUGAAAAAAUCCGAAAAAUAAAAGUAAAUCUCUUAAAAAUACUAAA
RNAcentral lists this long non-coding RNA (635 nucleotides) under Homo sapiens (human). RNAcentral describes it as "novel transcript". Lineage: Eukaryota; Metazoa; Chordata; Mammalia; Primates; Hominidae. The record is from RNAcentral.